UGCUUGCACCUUUAAAAUUUUAGCGGCGGACGGGUGAGUAACACGUGGGUAACCUACCUUAUAGAUUGGGAUAACUCCGGGAAACCGGGGCUAAUACCGAAUAAUACUUUUUAACACAUGUUUGAAAGUUGAAAGACGGUUUCGGCUGUCACUAUAAGAUGGACCCGCGGCGCAUUAGCUAGUUGGUGAGGUAACGGCUCACCAAGGCAACGAUGCGUAGCCGACCUGAGAGGGUGAUCGGCCACACUGGGACUGAGACACGGCCCAGACUCCUACGGGAGGCAGCAGUAGGGAAUCUUCCACAAUGGACGAAAGUCUGAUGGAGCAACGCCGCGUGAGUGAAGAAGGAUUUCGGUUCGUAAAACUCUGUUGCAAGGGAAGAACAAGUAGCGUAGUAACUGGCGCUACCUUGACGGUACCUUGUUAGAAAGCCACGGCUAACUACGUGCCAGCAGCCGCGGUAAUACGUAGGUGGCAAGCGUUGUCCGGAAUUAUUGGGCGUAAAGCGCGCGCAGGUGGUUCCUUAAGUCUGAUGUGAAAGCCCCCGGCUCAACCGGGGAGGGUCAUUGGAAACUGGGGAACUUGAGUGCAGAAGAGGAUAGUGGAAUUCCAAGUGUAGCGGUGAAAUGCGUAGAGAUUUGGAGGAACACCAGUGGCGAAGGCGACUGUCUGGUCUGUAACUGACACUGAGGCGCGAAAGCGUGGGGGAGCAAACAGGAUUAGAUACCCUGGUAGUCCACGCCGUAAACGAUGAGUG
RNAcentral lists this ribosomal RNA (757 nucleotides) under Bacillus sp. FJAT-17406. RNAcentral describes it as "bacterial SSU rRNA". It matches the Rfam family "Bacterial small subunit ribosomal RNA", at positions 77 to 815 of the family's 1533-position model. Lineage: Bacteria; Bacillati; Bacillota; Bacilli; Caryophanales; Bacillaceae. The record is from RNAcentral.